AGUGAACGCUGGCGGUAGGCCUAACACAUGCAAGUCGAACGGCAGCACAGGAGAGCUUGCUCUCUGGGUGGCGAGUGGCGGACGGGUGAGGAAUACAUCGGAAUCUGCCCAGUCGUGGGGGAUAACGUAGGGAAACUUACGCUAAUACCGCAUACGACCUUCGGGUGAAAGAGGGGGAUCGCAAGACCUCUCGCGAUUGGAUGAGCCGAUGUCGGAUUAGCUAGUUGGCGGGGUAAUGGCCCACCAAGGCGACGAUCCGUAGCUGGUCUGAGAGGAUGAUCAGCCCAACUGGAAAUGAGACACGGUCCAGACUCCUACGGGAGGCAGCAGUGGGGAAUAUUGGACAAUGGGCGCAAGCCUGAUCCAGCCAUACCGCGUGGGUGAAGAAGGCCUUCGGGUUGUAAAGCCCUUUUGUUGGGAAAGAAAUCUUUCAGGCUAAUACCCUGGGAGGAUGACGGUACCCAAAGAAUAAGCACCGGCUAACUUC
RNAcentral lists this ribosomal RNA (487 nucleotides) under uncultured bacterium. RNAcentral's name for it is "partial 16S ribosomal RNA". It matches the Rfam family "Bacterial small subunit ribosomal RNA", at positions 29 to 504 of the family's 1533-position model. The record is from RNAcentral.